RNAcentral lists this unclassified non-coding RNA (275 nucleotides) under Hevea brasiliensis (rubber tree). Lineage: Eukaryota; Viridiplantae; Streptophyta; Magnoliopsida; Malpighiales; Euphorbiaceae. The record is from RNAcentral.
GCUUUGGUUGCUCAUUGAAUAAAGCGAUAGAUAAUCAGAACAGGGUUUCAAUUUUCUUAAUGUAAAUUUGCUUCUUUUUGCCGCAAUUGCUCAUAAUUGAGUCUUUUGUUCGCAUGAUAAAUGCUGAUUAAGGCUUAAAAUUACUAUAGUAUAUUUGAUCAACUGAGAAAUAGAGCAGGGUUUUGUACUGAUGAUAUUAAUUAGUGAUAGAAUUGAGCAAACAAACAAUAAUUCUUUGUGUUAUUUUUCAAGAUUUGUUUCCAAUUCGUCUGAAU